Molecule: ribosomal RNA, 252 nt
Filed under: uncultured bacterium
Lineage: Bacteria
Description: partial 16S ribosomal RNA
Rfam family: Bacterial small subunit ribosomal RNA
Source: RNAcentral
CCAAAAGCUGGCGACCGGCGCACGGGUGAGUAACACGUAUCCAACCUGCCUCAUACUCGGGGAUAGCCUUUCGAAAGAAAGAUUAAUAUCCGAUAGCAUAUAUUUCCCGCAUGGGUUCUAUAUUAAAGAAAUUCGGUAUGAGAUGGGGAUGCGUUCCAUUAGUUUGUUGGGGGGGUAACGGCCCACCAAGACUACGAUGGAUAGGGGUUCUGAGAGGAAGGUCCCCCACAUUGGAACUGAGACACGGUCCAA